RNAcentral lists this transfer RNA (94 nucleotides) under Anaerococcus murdochii. Its description in RNAcentral is "tRNA-Ser". It matches the Rfam family "tRNA". From Rfam's summary of the family: Transfer RNA (tRNA) molecules are approximately 80 nucleotides in length. Their secondary structure includes four short double-helical elements and three loops (D, anti-codon, and T loops). The record is from RNAcentral. Lineage: Bacteria; Bacillati; Bacillota; Tissierellia; Tissierellales; Peptoniphilaceae. RNAcentral also lists the same sequence under 3 other names.
GGAGAAGUACUCAAGUGGCUGAAGAGGCUCCCCUGCUAAGGGAGUAGAUCCCAAUUUACGGGAUGCGAGGGUUCAAAUCCCUCCUUCUCCGCCA